Molecule: ribosomal RNA, 417 nt
Filed under: uncultured bacterium
Lineage: Bacteria
Description: bacterial SSU rRNA
Rfam family: Bacterial small subunit ribosomal RNA
Source: RNAcentral
GAGGAAUAUUGGUCAAUGGGAGCAAUCCUGAACCAGCAAUGCCGCGUGUGGGAUGAAGGCGCUUCGCGUCGUAAACCACUGUCGGACGGGACGAAAAGAGCUAUAAAGCUCCGAGACGGUACCGUCAAAGGAAGGAUCGGCUAACUACGUGCCAGCAGCCGCGGUAAUACGUAGGAUCCAAGCGUUGUCCGGAUUUACUGGGUAUAAAGGGUGCGUAGGCGGUCUUGUGCGUCAGAGGUGAAAUAUCCGGGCUUAACCCGGAGGGUGCCUUUGAUACGGCAGGACUUGAGUACGAGAGAGGAUGAUGGAAUUCCUGGUGUAGCGGUGAAAUGCGUAGAUAUCAGGAGGAACACCGGUGGCGAAGGCGGUCAUCUGGCUCGUAACUGACGCUGAGGCACGAAAGCGUGGGGAUCAAAC